RNAcentral lists this transfer RNA (72 nucleotides) under Phycisphaerae bacterium. RNAcentral's name for it is "tRNA-Thr". It matches the Rfam family "tRNA". From Rfam's summary of the family: Transfer RNA (tRNA) molecules are approximately 80 nucleotides in length. Their secondary structure includes four short double-helical elements and three loops (D, anti-codon, and T loops). The record is from RNAcentral. RNAcentral also lists the same sequence under 1 other name. Lineage: Bacteria; Pseudomonadati; Planctomycetota; Phycisphaerae.
GCUGCUGUAGCUCAGUGGUAGAGCGCGUCCUUGGUAAGGACGAGGUCGUGGGUUCAAUCCCCACCAGCAGCU